GUGCUAGCCCCCGCGCGGGUGCCCGCGUCCCGGCCCGGAAGAGAGGCGGGACGACGGCGCGUCCUCUCCCCGCAAGAUUACCUCGCAGCGCGUAGCCGGCUUUGUGUUUCCCCUCCCUCCUUCUCGGCAGCCGCCCGGGCUGCAGCAGCCGCCGGAUCCGCCGCUGCGGCCGCCUCUUAAGCGCCGCAGAGCCCCAGAGGGUGUGGAUUCUGCAAUGCUGCACAGAAACCUACUGCAGCCUCAGACCAACAGCAGCAGCAGCAGCGGCGGCGGCGGCAGCAGCAGCAGCAGCAUUAGCAGCAGCAGCUUCUCUCAAUGCUGAGUAACUGUCAUUGUGAAGGGGUCCUUCAGAAGGAUUCAUCAUGUGAAGAAAAAUGGCUACCUAAGUGCAGGGAUUUCAAGGGCAGCAACAGCCUUCUCUGACUAUAUCUCCAAAGUAUCCCUAUUUACAGUUGAAUACAGAUAAUCAUGAGGCCCAAGACCCUAAGGAACAGUGCAGCCAGGAGUCGGAAGGAGCCUGGGUUUCUGAAUCAUCACAUGGAGGGGAGCUGUCUUCAGCUGGGAGAGCUGUCUUCAGUUGGAUACUGGAUGGAGUCUCACUCUGUCACCCAGGCUGGAGUGCAGUGGUGCAGUUUCGGCUCACUGCAACCUCCGCCUCCCAGGUUCAAGCCAUUCUCCUGCCUCAGCCUCCCGAGUAGCUGGGAUUACAGGAGGAAGAAAGGGAGCUGGUUAGGAAGCAAACUUGAGUUUCCCAUGCUCUGUGGCUGAGCAAGUCACUUCACCAUUCUCAGGAUGGAAGUGGGGAUGGAGGUGGCAUCGGCCUCAUUUGAACCACAUGGACUAAGAGGGGCUAUGGGAGUAUUCCCCAAAGGAAGACUGAGGGGCGUUACUAGAAAAUGGGAGAAUGGAAGCAGAGUGGGCAAAACCAACAGAUGUUCCCUAUAGUAAAUAAAAAAUUUGGACAAUUAUUAGUGAGCAAGUACUUAUAACAUAUAUGGCACAUGGGAUUGUGACUCACCAGUGUGUUAGCACAAUAUGGUCAAAAACCUCUGAUCCAAUUCAACCUACUCAUCUUAACGAUUUUAUCAGCAUUUAAUAAGUUUGUUUUGGCCAUCAUGUGUUAUAGUUUUGUUUGUGGUUUUGACACCUCAUUAGAGGUUUCAUCAGUGUAAGGAGCCAACCUAAGAGCUCUUCUCACAAGUUUCCCAAGAGAGAAAUUGCCCCUCCAAAUGUGAGGAGUCUCACUUUAUAUAGAUAGCAUCCACACUUCUUGCAGUGGAAAACAAACCUUAUAAAAUGUAAUACGUUUGGUUUCCUAACUUUUUCAUGACCCUGGGGUGGUAGAAGGAAGUGCAAGUUUUAUCACUUGGAUUUAGAGACAAGGAAAUUGAAAUGGAGAGAGAAUUGGGCUCACAUGCAGGCAGCAUGUCUAGCUGCCUCCAUCGUGUGAUCUGAGGCACCCCAUGAGGCCUAUGAUUACUGUAAACCUCUAAAAUAAAUAAAAAAUAAAACAAUCUCU
RNAcentral lists this long non-coding RNA (1519 nucleotides) under Homo sapiens (human). RNAcentral's name for it is "HSALNT0359953". Lineage: Eukaryota; Metazoa; Chordata; Mammalia; Primates; Hominidae. The record is from RNAcentral.